This 512-nucleotide ribosomal RNA is filed under the name uncultured bacterium. RNAcentral's name for it is "bacterial SSU rRNA". It matches the Rfam family "Bacterial small subunit ribosomal RNA", at positions 15 to 518 of the family's 1533-position model. The record is from RNAcentral.
GAUCCUGGCUUAGGAUGAACGCUAGCGACAGGCUAACACAUGCAAGUCGAGGGGCAGCACGGGAGUAGCAAUACAACUGGUGGCGACCGGCGCACGGGUGAGUAACGCGUAUGCAACCUACCUAUCAGGAGGGGAAUAACCCGGCGAAAGUCGGACUAAUACCGCAUAAAACAGGGGCACCGCAUGGUGAUAUUUGUUAAAGAAAUUCGCUGAUAGAUGGGCAUGCGUUCCAUUAGGUAGUUGGUGAGGUAACGGCUCACCAAGCCGACGAUGGAUAGGGGAACUGAGAGGUUGGUCCCCCACACUGGUACUGAGACACGGACCAGACUCCUACGGGAGGCAGCAGUGAGGAAUAUUGGUCAAUGGGCGAGAGCCUGAACCAGCCAAGUCGCGUGAAGGAAGAAGGAUCUAUGGUUCGUAAACUUCUUUUGCAGGGGAAUAAAGUGCAGGACGUGUCCUGUUUUGUAUGUACCCUGAGAAUAAGGAUCGGCUAACUCCGUGCCAGCCGCCGC